Molecule: ribosomal RNA, 447 nt
Filed under: uncultured bacterium
Lineage: Bacteria
Description: bacterial SSU rRNA
Rfam family: Bacterial small subunit ribosomal RNA
Source: RNAcentral
UCGGGAAUUUUGGGCAAUGGGCGCAAGCCUGAUCCAGCCAUGCCGCGUGAGUGAUGAAGGCCCUAGGGUUGUAAAGCUCUUUCAACGGUGAAGAUAAUGACGGUAACCGUAGAAGAAGCCCCGGCUAACUUCGUGCCAGCAGCCGCGGUAAUACGAAGGGGGCUAGCGUUGUUCGGAAUUACUGGGCGUAAAGCGCACGUAGGCGGAUUGUUAAGUCAGAGGUGAAAUCCCGGAGCUCAACUUCGGAACUGCCUUUGAUACUGGCAAUCUAGAGUCCGGAAGAGGUUAGUGGAAUUCCCAGUGUAGAGGUGAAAUUCGUAGAUAUUGGGAAGAACACCAGUGGCGAAGGCGGCUAACUGGUCCGGUACUGACGCUGAGGUGCGAAAGCGUGGGGAGCAAACAGGAUUAGAUACCCAUGUAGUCCCUGAGCGGGCUGGCAAGGCGCAU